RNAcentral lists this ribosomal RNA (579 nucleotides) under Phlegmacium cyanites. RNAcentral describes it as "eukaryotic LSU rRNA". It matches the Rfam family "Eukaryotic large subunit ribosomal RNA", at positions 1 to 579 of the family's 3401-position model. Lineage: Eukaryota; Fungi; Basidiomycota; Agaricomycetes; Agaricales; Cortinariaceae. The record is from RNAcentral.
GUGACCUCAAAUCAGGUAGGACUACCCGCUGAACUUAAGCAUAUCAAUAAGCGGAGGAAAAGAAACUAACAAGGAUUCCCCUAGUAACUGCGAGUGAAGCGGGAAAAGCUCAAAUUUAAAAUCUGUCAGUCUAUGGCUGUCCGAGUUGUAAUCUAGAGAAGUGUUAUCCGCGCUGGACCGUGUACAAGUCUCCUGGAAUGGAGCGUCAUAGAGGGUGAGAAUCCCGUCUUUGACACGGACUACCAGGGCUUUGUGAUGCGCUCUCAAAGAGUCGAGUUGUUUGGGAAUGCAGCUCAAAAUGGGUGGUAAAUUCCAUCUAAAGCUAAAUAUUGGCGAGAGACCGAUAGCGAACAAGUACCGUGAGGGAAAGAUGAAAAGAACUUUGGAAAGAGAGUUAAACAGUACGUGAAAUUGCUGAAAGGGAAACGCUUGAAGUCAGUCGCGUUGUCCAGGGAUCAACCUUGCUUCUGCUUGGUGUACUUUCUGGGGGACGGGUCAGCAUCAAUUUUGACUGUUGGAAAAAAGUCAAGGGAAUGUGGCAUCUUUGGAUGUGUUAUASCCCUUGGUUGCAUACAAUGG